GGUUUGAUUAUGGCUCAGAUUGAACGCUGGCGGGAUGCUUUACACAUGCAAGUCGAACGGCAGCACGGACUUCGGUCUGGUGGCGAGUGGCGAACGGGUGAGUAAUGUAUCGGAACGUGCCUAGUAUGGGGAUAACUGCUGCGAAAGCGUAGCUAAUACCGCAUACGCCCUUCGGGGGAAAGCGGGGACCUUCUUCGGGCCUCAAAAAUUAUUAGAGCGGCCGAUAUCGGAUUAGCUGAAGUUGGUAAGUAACGGCUCACCAAGGCGACGAUCCGUAGCUGGUUUGAGAGGACGACCAGCCACACUGGGAUCGAGACACGGCCCAGACCUACGGAGGCAGCAGGGUAAUUUUUGGACAAUGGGGGAAACCCCGAUCCAGCCAUCCCGCGUGUGCGAUGAAGGCCUUCAGUUGUAAAGCACUUUUUGGCAGGAAAGAAACGGCACGGAGCAUACUCCCGUGCAACUGACGGUACCCGCAGAAUAAGCACCGGCUGUUCACGCGCCAGCAGCUGCGGUAAUACGUAGGGUGCAAGCGCGUUAAUCGGAAUUACUGGGCGUAAAGCGUGCGCAGGCGGUUCGGAAACAGAUGAAAUCCCAGAGCUUAACUUUGGAACUGCAUUUUUAACUACCGAGCUAGAGGUGUCGAGGGAGGUGGAAUUCCGCGUGUAGCAGUGAAUGCGUAGAUAUGCGGAGGAACACCGAUGGCGAAGGCAGCCCGGGAUAACACUCGACGUCCUAUACUGAAAGCGUGGGGAGCAAACAUAUUUAGAUGCUACUCCUGGUAGUCCACGCCUCUAAACGAUGUCAACUAGCUGUUGGGGCCUCGCCUUGGUAGCGCAGCUAACGCGUGAAGUUGACCGCCUGGGGAGUACGGUCGCAAGAUUAAAACUCAGCGAAUUGACGGGGACCUGGCCAUGGUGGAUGAUGUGGAUUAAUUACGCAACGCGAAAAACCUUACCUACCCUUUGAUGUUUUAAUCCUGGAAGAGAUUUAGAGUGCUCGCAAGAGAACCGGAACACAGGUGCUGCAUGGCUGUCGUCAGCUCGUGUCGUGAGAGUUGGGUUAAGUCCCGGCAACGAGCGCAACCCCUUUGUCAUUAGUUGCCAUGAAAGGGCACUCUACUGAGGCCUGCCGGUGACAACCGGAGGAAGGUGGGGAUGACGUCAAGUCCUCAUGGCCUCUUAUGGGUAGGGCUUCACACGUCAUACAAUGGUCGGGACAGAGGGUCGCCAACCCGCGAGGGGGAGCCAAUCCCAGAAACCCGAUCGUAGGUCCGAUCGCAGUCUGCAACUCGACUGCGUGAAGUCGGAAUCAUGAACAGUAAUCGCGGAUCAGCAUGUCGCGGUGAAUACGUUCCCGGGUCUUGUACACACCGCCCGUCACACUCACAUGGGAGUGGGUUUUACCAGAAGUAGUUAGCCUAACCGUAAGGAGGGCGAUUACCACGGUAGGAUUCAUGACUGGGGUGAAGUCGUAACAAGGUAG
RNAcentral lists this ribosomal RNA (1485 nucleotides) under uncultured Bordetella sp. Its description in RNAcentral is "partial 16S-23S ribosomal RNA intergenic spacer". It matches the Rfam family "Bacterial small subunit ribosomal RNA". The record is from RNAcentral. Lineage: Bacteria; Pseudomonadati; Pseudomonadota; Betaproteobacteria; Burkholderiales; Alcaligenaceae.